RNAcentral lists this long non-coding RNA (1290 nucleotides) under Gopherus agassizii (Agassiz's desert tortoise). Its description in RNAcentral is "lncRNA (ENSGAGG00000015185.1)". The stretch from base 1 to 369 matches the Rfam family "Vertebrate telomerase RNA". Lineage: Eukaryota; Metazoa; Chordata; Testudines; Testudinidae. The record is from RNAcentral.
GGGGGCUCGGUCUUUCUAACCCUAAGCGGAACGUGGCCCCUCCCCGCCGCAGCCGUCCGCUGUUUUACUCGCUGACUUUCAGCGGGCGGGGGGAGCGGGCGGAGACACCAACCAAAAAACGUCAGCGAGGGGCCCUCCCCUCCCACGCCGACCUGGGCCGGUGUGGGGCCCGCCAGGGAAGUCCCCGCCGCCCCGCCCUGGUGAGGCCGCGGUCAGCCGGUUCGCGCCACUGCUGCCGCGAAGAGUUCGUCUCUGUCAGCCUCGGGGGCGGCCGGGGUGGAAGGGCGGGUCCCGUGCGGGUCGGCCGGGAGAGCAAACAUUUCCUGCCAGUUAAAAGUAAGCAGGGAACAGCUCAAGAUUUCUACCUUUGAUCCCAGCUGCAGCAUGGUCAGCUCUUCUGGUGCUUCACUCCAGCUGGGACCCAGAAGGGCAAGAGAGAAGGACUGCAAAAAUUACGAACCUGAAGAUCUUUCCGAAUCUUAACAGAAAGGUGAAGUUUGAGGUAGGUUAUAGAAAUGGAUUAGUAUUUGGGGCAGCAGUUUGGGUGGAGGUGUAUUGGAAGUACUUAUUUUACUCUGGGGGCUAAUCUAUUCUUAAUAGAGAGACACGCAUUCCCGGGGAGAGCAGGAACAGAUCUAGAGGGAUACAAUGGAGGUGAGUGAGAUCUGAAAAUGGGAAAGUGCGUUCAAAGACUAUUUACAGAAGCCGUUAGGAAUCAUGCUGCGUCUAGCCGUGUAAAGAGCAGGCGGUGCCUGGAACCUCCACUGGGUAUAUAGUCGCAUAUACUUUACCUUCACGCAUGUAGAUCUACGCACGAGGUUUAAGCUACACCAUCAGCCCUGCUCCUGCUGCUUUCCUCCAACUCCAGCUUUCCGCGGGGACCCCAGAAGGAGAGAAAGGGGGCUCCUCCGGAAAGGUAGCAGCAGGAGCGGAGAGGAAAUGAACAGGAGCGUGCUGCUGAGCCGCAGGUUGGGUUGUUUGCAUUGCACUGCAGGCGCAGCUGAAGGUGCCUGUGCUAAUGUUUGAGCUGCCAGCGUGGCUCGCUCCCUUCUUGCAUAGUACAGGCGUGGGGCACAUUCCACCGCUUCCAUUCCUCUCUCUCGCUAUGCGUUAAAUGACCUUAGCUAGGAGUCUGCUAGUAGGGGGCACGAGGGCUGAGAAGGUAAUCACUCUCCAGUGCCUGUGCUUCUAAUAGUGCUAGCUCUCUGCAGUUCCUCCUUGCAACCGGACGGGGGCAGCGCAGACCGAUCUGUCUUUGCCCUCCUGCCGCCUGUGAAGCUGAAAUUCGCC